RNAcentral lists this ribosomal RNA (253 nucleotides) under uncultured bacterium. RNAcentral describes it as "partial 16S ribosomal RNA". It matches the Rfam family "Bacterial small subunit ribosomal RNA", at positions 524 to 776 of the family's 1533-position model. The record is from RNAcentral.
UACGAAGGUGGCAAGCGUUGUUCGGAUUUACUGGGCGUACAGGGAGCGGAGGCGGUUGGGUAAGCCCUCCGUGAAAUCUCCGGGCCCAACCCGGAAAGUGCGGAGGGGACUGCUCGGCUAGAGGAUGGGAGAGGAGCGCGGGAUUCCCGGUGUAGCGGUGAAAUGCGUAGAGAUCGGGAGGAAGGCCGGUGGCGAAGGUGGCGCUCUGGAACAUUUUUGACGUUGAGGCUCGUAAGUGUGGGGAGCAAACAGG